AGAGAUGGAUUGGUGGCCUUCGGGAACUCUGACACAGGUGCUGCAUGGCUGUCGUCAGCUCGUGUCGUGAGAUGUUGGGUUAAGUCCGUAACGAGCGCAACCCUUGUCCUUAGUUACCAGCACGUUAUGGUGGGCACUCUAAGGAGACUGCCGGUGACAAACCGGAGGAAGUGGGGGAUGACGUCAAGUCAUCAUGGCCCUUACGGCCUGGGCUACACACGUGCUACAAUGGUCGGUACAAAGGGUUGCCAAGCCGCGAGGUGGAGCUAAUCCCAUAAAACCGAUCGUAGUCCGGAUCGCAGUCUGCAACUCGACUGCGUGAAGUCGGAAUCGCUAGUAAUCGUGAAUCAGAAUGUCACGGUGAAUACGUUCCCGGGCCUU
This 381-nucleotide ribosomal RNA is filed under the name uncultured Pseudomonas sp. RNAcentral describes it as "bacterial SSU rRNA". It matches the Rfam family "Bacterial small subunit ribosomal RNA", at positions 1002 to 1382 of the family's 1533-position model. Lineage: Bacteria; Pseudomonadati; Pseudomonadota; Gammaproteobacteria; Pseudomonadales; Pseudomonadaceae. The record is from RNAcentral.